This 1593-nucleotide long non-coding RNA is filed under the name Gallus gallus (chicken). Lineage: Eukaryota; Metazoa; Chordata; Aves; Galliformes; Phasianidae. The record is from RNAcentral.
CUUUUUUGAGACAAAUCAUUGGCAUCCUAAUCUUCUGAUUCCCAUGAAAGACUCACUUUCAAGAUACAAUUGCAGCUGCCCCACACUGCCAGUUACUGUAUCAUACACGUCUUAAAAUUCUGUAAUCAGCAUCCACCAGGUGCCGUAUCGCAUUCAGCACACCACAGUCAGUCAAUACAGACAUCCCCAAACACACCAAGGCUGGUUUUGUCAAAUGUUUUAUUGAGUGUAGACAUCUGGAGUACUGUAAAACAUGCAUUAUCUGUAGAUUCAAAAAGGAGCAAGCCACAUUGUCCUCACUGUCAAACGUGUCAGGCUUGGCAUACAUGAUGGAGAUUAAUGAAGUAUCAUGAGAGUAAUAUGGUUCCUGAAAAGCUUCUACAAUUUGGAGUAGGGUCUUAAUCGUUUCAAAUGCAAAGCUGUUCACAUUUAGUGAACUUGCAUGUUCACCGGAGGUGCCGUAUUUUAAUUCAAAACAAACAAGAAUAAUUUCACUGGGGGAAGGGGAGGUUCCCUAGGUAGAAACUGUAUGCUUUUUGUUUCCAGAUAUUCCAUACCAAAUAAAAAUUCAUAUGCUUUUUGAAGCAGCACAGUUUAUUUCUGAGCAACGAACAACGUCUGAUACUCAUUUCUUCUUGGGUUGCUGGGGUGUAUUAAAUUUAAAGAAGAUAAUAUCUCCAUCUUCCACAAUGUAAUUCCUGCCUUGUUGCCUGUACUUUCCAGCAGCCUUGACAGCAGCUUCUGAACCUCCUUCUUUAAAGUCUUCAUAUUUCAUUACCUCAGCCAUAAUGAAUCCCUUUUCGAAAUCCGUGUGAAUCUUCCCUGCCGCCUGAGGAGCCUUCGUCCCUUUCCUGAUGGUCCAUGCACGCACUUCAUCUGGGCCUGCGGUGAAAAAGUAUUCUAGUUGGAGUGCUGCAUAUCCAGCCUUAAUGAUCUUUGGUAAAGCACUUUGUGUCAUGUUCUCUUCCAGAUACUUCUGUUUCUCCUCAGCACUCAUAUCUUGCAACUUGAGUUCCAAGGCCCCACUAAAAGGAAUGACCAAAGCACCCGGGUCGUGCUUGUCCACCCACUCUUUAAUUUUUAUCAACCAUUUGUUUUUCUUUCUAAUGUAGUCUUUUUCAGAGAGGUUAACCAAAUAGAUCAUGGGUUUUGAAGUGAAAAACAAAUGUUUGUUCAAAACAUCGAUCUCUUUGUCAUUCCAAUCAUGAUAGAAGCGGACAGCUUUCUUUUCAUCUAUUACCCAGGUUUUGAUUUUGCACAUUACAUCGUAUUCAGGUUUCAACUUCUUGUCUCCUCCUCUCACAGCUACUUUUUCUAGCUUGUCUAUACUCUGCGUGAUCAGUUCUUCAUCUUUAAGUCUAAGUUCCUCAUGUAUUAUUUCAAUGUCUCGAACAGGAUCUACACUCCCUUCCACGUGAGUGAUGUCAUCAUCUUCAAAUGCUCGCAUCAGAUGAAAGAUCCCAUCACAGGCGUUAAUAUGAGACAAAAAGGAAUUUCCUAAGCCUUGGCCAGUAUGGGCUCCUUUCACAAGGCCAGCAAUAUCCACUACAUUCAGAAAGGCUGGAAUUUUGCUUGGAGGCUUGUGGUACUGGC